This 478-nucleotide ribosomal RNA is filed under the name uncultured bacterium. Its description in RNAcentral is "partial 16S ribosomal RNA". It matches the Rfam family "Bacterial small subunit ribosomal RNA", at positions 28 to 523 of the family's 1533-position model. The record is from RNAcentral.
GACGAACGCUGGCGGCGUGCUUAACACAUGCAAGUCGAACGGUAAGGCCCUUCGGGGUACACGAGUGGCGAACGGGUGAGUAACACGUGGGUGAUCUGCCCUGCACUUCGGGAUAAGCCUGGGAAACUGGGUCUAAUACCGGAUAGGACCACUGCCUGCAUGGGUGGUGGUGGAAAGCUUUUGCGGUGUGGGAUGGGCCCGCGGCCUAUCAGCUUGUUGGUGGGGUGAUGGCCUACCAAGGCGACGACGGGUAGCCGGCCUGAGAGGGUAACCGGCCACACUGGGACGGAGAUACGGCCCAGACUCCUACGGGAGGCAGCAGUGGGGGAUAUUGCACAAUGGGCGCAAGCCUGAUGCAGCGACGCCGCGUGAGGGAUGACGGCCUUCGGGUUGUAAACCUCUUUCAGCACCGACGAAGCGCAAGUGACGGUAGGUGCAGAAGAAGGACCGGCCAACUACGUGCCAGCCGCCGCCGUAA